GAGGCGGACUGUUGCUAUGCCGGCGCCAUGGACGCCGCACAGCGGAAAGCACAUCAUCACGCCUUCUGCUUCAGCGUGAAAGGCCACGUGAAGAUGCUGCGGCUGGCACUAACUGUGACAUCUAUGACCUUUUUUAUCAUUGCACAAGCCCCUGAAUCAUACAUAGUUAUCACUGGAUUUGAAGUUGCCAUCAUUUUGUUUUUCAUACUUUUAUAUAUACUCAGACUUGAUCGAUUAAUGAAAUGGUUAUUUUGGCCUUUACUUGAUAUUAUCAACUCAAUGGUAACAAUAGUAUUCCUGAUCAUCGUAUCUGUGUUGGCACUAAUACCAGAAACUACAACAUUGACAGUUGUUGGAGGGGCAUUUGGAUUCUUGGCAGCAGUGGUCUGUCUUGCUGACGGGGCCCUUAUUUACCGAAAGCUUCUGUUCAAUCCAAGUGGUCCUUAUCAGAAAAAGUCUAUUAGUGAAUAAAAGAUUGUUUUGGUAAUUGUAUAUUGCUUUUUAGUUUGAUACUAAGUAUUAAACACAUUUCUUUAUUCUUCCA
Microcebus murinus (gray mouse lemur) is the source of this 544-nucleotide non-coding RNA. The record is from RefSeq and is a predicted model, not a curated record. NCBI's taxonomy places the organism in Eukaryota, Metazoa, Chordata, Mammalia, Primates, Cheirogaleidae.